Long non-coding RNA from Micropterus dolomieu (smallmouth bass), 860 nucleotides. RefSeq lists it as uncharacterized. The transcript has 5 exons. The record is from RefSeq and is a predicted model, not a curated record. Lineage: Eukaryota; Metazoa; Chordata; Actinopteri; Centrarchiformes; Centrarchidae.
GACUGACAUCAACUGUCCACGAGCUCAAGUGCAUUUCGGGAAUAGAAUAAAAAAGUGGACAGGACGGAGGGAAUUCGCGCCAGUGGUGACUGCUAGCAAGAAUCUUGAGGCCGAAGACUCACUGCCGUUACAGUCAUUCCUGACCAGGAAGGCACCUGAUACAAUAGCUGAAUAUGAGCGCACAGGGAUGUUUUCUACAGAAGGAAGGAAAAAGAUCAUCACUGUUAGCGUCGGUGAUCUCGUGGCAAAACAUGGAUUUAAUGCACAUCUCAUGCCUCAAACAGCUACCCUUCCACUGCAGACAAGCUGAACUUGGCUAAAUCCUUGAUUGCAAUCUUUCCCUCUCUGAAUCUCGGCGUUUGUGGAGAGAACGAAGGAUAUGAGCAUCUAUAUGACCCUGUGUCCCAUAAAGGAUUCAUAGAAGUCAAGCUUCGGAAUAUGAGGCGGCAUCUUGAAGAGGGACAGCGACGCUAUCAGCGAAAAGUUCCCUGCAGUGUUUCAGCUGGAGCAUCAGUAACACAGUCACCAGCUGAUGAAGACCCAAUUGAAUGGUUGACCAUCAUCAAGAGAAUGAAGCCAUCAUCUGAGAACAUCUCCACCAUCAAAACUGCAAUGGAAAAGACCUUCAACCAUCGCAGGAAUUGGAUCAGCACGCAGAUGCCAACAGUUGGUGACAUUUACCAACAGUACCCCCGUUUCAUCGACAUGCCAGCCCUGCUAGAUGCAGAGUUUGGAAAGAUGUUUGAGGGAAAGGGAGAGAUGCUAAUCCGAAGAUGGGAAUCAUCGGUUAUUCCAAAACUGAAACGGAUUGCGGCUUUGGAGAAGGGGAGUGUAACCACUCUGCUGGAUCAGAAUCCAAA